UGGCAAACGGCUGAGUAACGCGUAGGAACCUACCCCAAACUCGAGUAUAGCCCCGCGAAAGCGGGGGUAAUCCUCGAUAGCCCGUGAAGUAUUUUACUUCACGGUAAAGCUUUUGCGGUUUGGGAUGGGCCUGCGUCCUAUCAGGUAGUUGGUGAGGUAAAUGCUCACCAAGCCUAUGACGGGUAGCUGGUCUGGGAGGAUGGUCAGCCAGACUGGGACUGCGACACGGCCCAGACUCCUACGGGAGGCAGCAACUAGGAAUUGUGCGCAAUGGACGAAAGUCUGACGCCGCGACAUCGCGUGGAGGAUGAAGGUCUUCGGAUUGUAAACUCCUUUUCUUACCGAACAAGUUCUGAGUGUAGGUAAGGAAUAAGUGCCUGCUAACCACGUGCCAGAAGCAUCGGUAAUACGUGGGGCACGAGCGUUAUCCGGAUUUACUGGGCGUAAAGAGAAGCGUAGGCGGCUCAAUAAGUUUGGUGUUAAAUCUUCCGGCUCAACCGGAAACAAGCACCGAAAACUAUCGAGAUUGAGUCGAGUAGGGAAGAGGGGAAUUCCUGGUGGAGCGGUUAAAUGCGUAGAUAUCAGGAGGAAUACCAAGGGCGAAGGCACCUCUUUGGACUCGUACUGACGCUGAGGCUCGAAAGCGCGGGUAGCAAAACGGAUUAGAUACCCGUGUAGUCCACGCCGUAAACGAUCCCUGUUAGAUGUAUGUUUUGUC
RNAcentral lists this ribosomal RNA (718 nucleotides) under uncultured organism. RNAcentral's name for it is "bacterial SSU rRNA". It matches the Rfam family "Bacterial small subunit ribosomal RNA", at positions 96 to 833 of the family's 1533-position model. The record is from RNAcentral.